GCAACAUCUCAGCUGACAGCCGGCACAGCUGAGUAGGAUUCAUACACACUUAAAUCACCAUUUACUUCUGGCACAGUAAUGUAAACAACUGGUGAAUAUACCAUUAGAGCUACUUAUUUGACAGUCUGCAUGAAGCCAGAGGAACAUGCAGUUAACAACAUACAAGAAAUCUCCCCAUCUAGACAGAGUUUGGAAGGAGAGACAGCUUCAUCCUGAUUGCUCCCCAAGCUCCCAUUUGUGAGCUCCACUGAACAAGACACGUUUCUUCAAAAGGCUGAACAAUGCUCAGACAGAUGGAUUCAUAAGAGUACAGGCAUAUUGCAAGAGAGAUUUCUGCAGAAAGAUCACUGGAGAAACUUGAGAGCUUCCCUCCUGAUUGUGAGGAGAGUGUGAGGAAGUAUUUGGCUUUCUAAGUAGCUCUAGCAGACACGCAAACUAGCAGAAACUCAUCAGAAUGACUAGGAUGUUUCAGCGUAAACAGUUUGGAAGCCAAAUAGCACCAGGAGAUUCUUCCUCUCAGAGAUGGGAAUGCAUGAGGAGAGCUGCAAGCUGAGAGCAGACAGCAAAAGAGAAUGGAAGAAGGCUCUGGAACUGAGCACUUCUCUGCAGCUGAAAGAUAGCUGGCAACCAAGUCUUACAGCACUCUACCUGCUGUCUGCCCCCACUUCCAAAGGAAGAGGCGUAAGACGUCACCAUGGAGGCCCAAGGCAGGCUUUGCAGGGCAGAACAUCUGAUAGUUGUUUGGGUGGAGCAACGGAGCCUUCAGAUGAAGAAAUAUGGGCAAUGUUGCUUAAGACUGCUAUUGUAACUCCCAGGAUUUUGAAAGUCUAAAGCGUUGUCACAAAAACAGGGAAGAUGUUGACUUUUUAAGAAAGCCAUACAUUUUAUAGCACGCCAAUUUAAACAAUACCAGAGAAAACAUUUUUUCCUUUUACAAAGGGGAAAACUCACAGUUGUAGCCUUUAUCUAAUGUAUUAUUUGCCUCAAGCAACCGUUAAUACAGUUACAUAAAUUCUCAUUCUAUUAACCUAAAUGAAAGGCACGUCCAGUAACACGGGGCAAUAGGAAUCGCUGCUGUAAAUUAAAACAGUGCACAGGGUAUUGAUGUGAGGGGAACUUUAAAAGAUUUCUACGAGGCUCCUCAGGCAUGAAGCAGUAUUCUGAACACUGUAACAGCAGUUAGAAGCUUCGGGAAAAGGUGUACAUUAUUGGAAAGAAGUUUUGUUCACAGUGGGAGUUUCCUCUAAUCCUCCACAGAUUUAGAAAUAAUUUUUCAAGAGAGACCAAAUAAUACCCUAAAUUCCAUUAAAAUCCGAUGGGAUUUAUGUGCCUAACAUCCUAAGUCCUUCUGAAAAUCUCAGCUUUUAUGUUUGGCUUAUUCUGUACAGAAUGAGAGGCAGAUAUUUCUUGUAUAACUCAAACAGUUCAGAUUAUAUGCAAGUAAUCCAAACCACCUGUGGUGUGCUGCAGUCAAAAAAUGUGUGGUUGUUCCCUCCUCACCACCUUUCUUUUUCACAGUGGGGUUUUUAAUGCAUUUAGGCUUCAGACAAAAAGCACAACUCUCAGGUAAGCAUCAGUGUUGAUUUUUUUUUUUUUUUUUUUUUUUUUUUUUUUUUUUUUGCUCUGGAGGUUGGUCCUGACAGCUCCUUGGUGAGCAGCUGCAUCUGGGUGCUCCUGCAGGACAGCUAUGCACAGCGAGCAGCAGCUGCAGAGUCCCUGCACCUGGGGAAUCCCCAGUGAGGGAAAUCAGUCAGCCUCAGUUCUUUGAGCUACCAGAGCAGCAGAGGUGCUAGAUCAGCUUUGGAUACAUCUGCAGUAUUGAAGUGGCCCAGAAUUUCCACCCAUCGCUACUACAAAAUAAGCUACGGAAUCCUGUAUUCACUUUUCACAGAUUGCCUGGAAGUAACCUUUGAAGACAAAGUAUAGAAUCAAACUACUAAUCCAUAUAAAUAUCAUUUUAAAGCUGUACAUUUAUGAGGGGGUUUUGUUUUGUUUUUAAACACAGGAUUGAAACAGUAGGAUGGAUCCACUUCAAAUGUCACCUGGUCUUUGGCAGCUCAAACAUGUGGCUCUCUACAAGCAAGGUCUGAGAGAUGCUCUGCUCUAGCUGAUACUGUUGCAAAGAGCCGGCAGAGGAAAUCACUGAAGGAAAUCUAAAAGCGUUCCACUACCAAACAGGAAGCAAAGCAGCACCAAAAAGCUGUGCUGUUCACUGGGGAUCUGUUCAAACGAGAUGGUGUUGAAGAGAUUCAACCCAGGAUAGGAUGCUGCAAAGAUGAGUUUAAAGACUUGUAACAGAAUGAAAUGGAGCCUAAAAUUAGUACAGGGUGUUUUGCCUCUGCUCUAUAUUCCUGUCUGAUGUCGUGAGAUCGUAUCACUACUAGAGGCAAACGCUUUCUCACUGCUGCUGCUGUGAAAGGAUAACAGAAGAUGCCAAAACCUCUAGUGAGGCAUAUUAAAUGAAAAUCAAUAUAAACUUUUCUACUGUCCUUCUGUCACUGUACAGUAUUUCAGUGUUAAUGUUUUGAUUCAGUAGUUACAUAUCUAGCAGAGAGCAAAGCUGUGCCUGAUUUCACAAUAAACAGCUUUUAAUGGGGUACAUACAACAUUAGCAAUAUUUUGAGUGGAAAACAUGAGAUGGGAGUUUGUUGCUACGGGUUUUAGGGGCUUAAGUAAAAAUUAAAUUUGGAAUAGCCUCAGAAAGCUCACUUACCUCUCGCUGUUGCAAGUAACAAUCCAAAUAAACUCCCACAUAAACCCCCCUGCAAGCUGAAAAAUAAUCCUAGAGUAAAAUCUAGUUUCAAAAUUAAGCCACCUUAAUUUUAAUAUUGUUUCUAUGCCCAGGAAAAAUCAUCUUUGGAUAAAUGCAUUUGAAAAAAAUGAAAAGAACACAACUUUUGUUUUGAGAAUAUUCUGUGAAGGAGUUAUUUUCAGCUAGCUCACACUUGUUAACAAGCAGCACUUGGGCAGUCUCCUUAUUCUUUAAGUAGGCACAAAGACCAGAGCAUAGGUAUACCCACUCUCACUCACACAAUUGCCACUGGCAAGUGAAAGUACAGUUUCUUCAGUUUCUCAAGCACACAACACGCAACAUUGCUCAGAUAAUUUGAAAUUACGGUGGGAUCUAGUGACACUAUCCAAACUGUGCUGCCAGUCACCUCUCAUAAGGAGGCAAGACACAAGGAAACUAGAUACAGCCCAAGGAGGCAAGCACAGCUGGGAUUAAGGGUGUAAUAACUGAAUUGGACAGCACUUUUUGGCUCAGAUUAUUACUGCCAGCCCUAGCAGACCUAGUGAUCCUGCUCUUGAUUUUCUCAAGUUUUUGCAAGUUUACCCGACUUUUACUUUAGAGGUCAGACUGACACAUAGCCCAGGAGAUUAGCUACAUAAAUCUCAGAGCAACUUUCCCUCUUCCAAGGAAAAGUGCUGCUACACAAGGGGCAGUCCAUAGGCUUCUCACAAGCUCAGCUUUUCACUCUUGCUGAGACAUUUGGCAAAACUGAAAGGAGAUGAGAGGGAAAAGAACAGUUAAAGAAAUUGAGGUUAGAUAUGUACAAACAGAAACAUAUUUAGCAUGCACUUCACUUACAUCUUUUGAUUAAACCCAUUUUGCUCACUUUGGUACAUUUUAAUCUUAGAGACAAAGCCAACACAUACAAGCCAGUUAAAGACAAAAAAGGGAUAAGACUUAAAACUUUUCACCAAGUUCAUAGAUGAUCAGUAGCAAAGCCACAGGUAGAACCCAUGUUUCAUCCUAGUGUUGCUCUGUCAUGGAUAAGGUUUUUGGGACCUUUUCUUGGCCUUACCACUAUUAAAGCCUUUCCCAUCUACAGGGGAUGGUGACUCCCCUGCAUCUCAAACAAAAAUCAGUAUCACAUCUGUUGAAAUCAGAGUGACAUGUUGUAAUAGGUUUUAGAAGAACUAAGGUUUAGUGCUAGUUUUAUCUCCUAAGAAGCUAUUUCACAAGAUAAUGAUCAACUGGAGUUUACUCCGAGAGUCUAUUUUUUUUAGUCUCUCACAGACAAAAUUCAGUUGCAAUAAUCUAGAAAUGAACUCUUUGUUCUAGAUUAAAUAGUUAAAUAGAGUAGUACAUCGGUUCAACAGUUCAUGAAUUUAACUUAUGUAAUAAUGCUUGUGUAGCAUGAGGCUGCAUAAGCUGUUUAAACAGACUUACUCCUAGAUCCAGAGAAGACAUUUAGGGAAGCACUGCUUCUGAAUGGAUUACGUAACGCAUUAUAAACCUUUCUCUUAACUAGCAUCUCUGCCAAAUAGCACUUCAUUGCAGUUCUCCAACCUUACAAUAAAAAUACAAAGAACCUGCCUGGCCACUAACAGCAUUCACAUAAGGGGAUUUUCAAUCUAGUUCUCUAUAAGCAUCCACUAAGAAGUUUAAACCACAAACUUUUACUUCAGCAUAAAAAGGGACUAUGCAGGACUUUCUAAAAACAUUUGUGCAGAGGUAUGAAUAGCUGCCUUGGGGAAACUCCCCCAUAUUAAUAGAAAUAGCUGUUAUUGCCCAUGCUGUGCUAUGGCUCGGAGGGAAUAAUUACAAGUAUUCUUGUAACUUAUUCUGUUUGAAUGCAGUGGUUUUCAGAAUAGCAUCUCAGUAAGUGGGAGUCAGAAAGCAAGCUGAUAAAAAAAAAAAAGAGAGAGAAUGUUUACCAGUAUAAAUGCUAGAAGCAAGUACCAGUAAAGGUAACGGACACAUUUCUGGCCAAGGAGGCACAGAGUCUUGCUGCCCCUCCAUUCUGCAAGAUCAGAUUGCCCCCUCCUUAGGAUUUUUAACUGAACUAAGAUAAACUCUCAGUUUCAUGGACUGCGGUCUAACUAGCAAAGUACCAGUCCAGAUCAUAGGAUAUCUGUCAAACUGAAAUCCAAGAUAACAAGAAAAUGUGCCUGUCGAUGUAAACCUAUGGAUUCUGAUGUUAACACAUGGCAUUUCUCAACUGUGAUCAAUUACAGCAAAACUGCAACAGUAACACUGUACUCCCCAAACAGUUCAGCUAUAGUGUCUUCCCAUCCUUUUAUCCCAAAAGACUUCAGCUAUAACGGCUUUUCUUGUCCUCUUAAUUGGUCCUAAGUAAGGGGAAGGGGGUCAUAAAUGACUGACAGUCAAUCUAUUUUUAUGGUCUGUUUCUGAAGAAUCAAUAUCCACAGGUGUUAGAAUGGCAAUUUAACAGUGAUUACUGAGGAACAUUUAAAUCAGCUGCUCUUUAAAUAUAAAGUUACUGUUGUCAAUUUUUCCCCAGCAUUUCCUGGAAACACAUUCUUGACUUUCUAGAAAUCCUGUGAAAUUAACCAACUCUAAAGGAAGCAGCAUGAAGAGGAAAAAACCUGAAACAACAGAUAACAUAUUUUCUUCAUAUCUGAGAGUGUCAUUCAUAAUAAAACAAUGCUGAACUCUGAGAGACCAUGUGCCAUUAAAUGUCCUGACUGUAGAGCUCUGCAGUAUUCUGGGGGAAAAGAAUGACACUUCAUUUGCUGUUUACUGAUGCUGUCUGCUUGAAUCUUGCACAGCAGUGAAAAAACAUUCCACUGCAUGAAUAUCACCAAAAAUAUUAGUGACCUGCCGGGCAGUCCUUGUUUUCUUCAUCUUGAAGUUGCCCAAAAGAGUAACCUUAAAAGUCACCAGGAGUUUGCUGGGUGCCAAAUCUAAGGUCAAGAGGAGUCAUGGAUCAACAUUUCAUGAAAUAAAUAAAGGAACUUGUAAGACUAACAAGCUGAAGUUUCUCAAUGCCCUGUGUUUGACUAAACCAAAAUGGGGGGAGGGGGAAGAAGAAAGCAAGGAAGAAGAAAACAUUCAGUCAACAGUCCAACUAUUUCUAUUAAUA
Molecule: long non-coding RNA, 5831 nt
Organism: Gallus gallus (chicken)
Lineage: Eukaryota; Metazoa; Chordata; Aves; Galliformes; Phasianidae
Source: Ensembl